RNAcentral lists this ribosomal RNA (486 nucleotides) under uncultured bacterium. RNAcentral's name for it is "partial 16S ribosomal RNA". It matches the Rfam family "Bacterial small subunit ribosomal RNA", at positions 29 to 507 of the family's 1533-position model. The record is from RNAcentral.
AUUGAACGCUGGCGGCAUGCUUUACACAUGCAAGUCGAGCGGCAGCGCGGGGGCAACCCUGGCGGCGAGCGGCGAACGGGUGAGUAAUGCAUCGGAACGUAUCCUCGAGUGGGGGAUAACCCAGCGAAAGUUGGGCUAAUACCGCAUGAGCUCUGAGGAGGAAAGCGGGGGACCUGCGAGGGCCUCGCGCUGGAGGAGCGGCCGAUGUCGGAUUAGCUAGUUGGUGGGGUAAAGGCUUACCAAGGCGACGAUCGGUAGCUGGUCUGAGAGGAUGAUCAGCGACACUGGGACUGAGACACGGACCAGACUCCUACGGGAGGCAGCAGUGGGGAAUGGUGGACAAUGGGGGCAACCCUGAUCCAGCCAUGCCGCGUGAGUGAAGAAGGCCUUCGGGUUGUAAAGCUCUUUCGGACGGAACGAAAUGGGCGGGACUAAUACUCCUGUCUGAUGACGGUACCGUAAGAAGAAGCACCGGCUAACUACGUG